This 74-nucleotide transfer RNA is filed under the name Parcubacteria group bacterium. Its description in RNAcentral is "tRNA-Gln". It matches the Rfam family "tRNA". From Rfam's summary of the family: Transfer RNA (tRNA) molecules are approximately 80 nucleotides in length. The record is from RNAcentral.
UACCGGAUCGUCUAAUGGUAGGACACCUGGUUUUGGUCCAGGCAAUCUAGGUUCGAGUCCUAGUCCGGUAGCUA